This 504-nucleotide ribosomal RNA is filed under the name uncultured bacterium. RNAcentral's name for it is "partial 16S ribosomal RNA". It matches the Rfam family "Bacterial small subunit ribosomal RNA", at positions 30 to 523 of the family's 1533-position model. The record is from RNAcentral.
AUUGAACGCUGGCGGCAGGCCUAACACAUGCAAGUCGAGCGGUAACACAGGGAGCUUGCUCCUGGGUGACGAGCGGCGGACGGGUGAGUAAUGUCUGGGAAACUGCCUGAUGGAGGGGGAUAACUACUGGAAACGGUAGCUAAUACCGCAUAACGUCGCAAGACCAAAGAGGGGGACCUUCGGGCCUCUUGCCAUCAGAUGUGCCCAGAUGGGAUUAGCUAGUAGGUGGGGUAACGGCUCACCUAGGCGACGAUCCCUAGCUGGUCUGAGAGGAUGAACAGCCACACUGGCACUGAGACACGGUCCAGACUCCUACGGGAGGCAGCAGUGGGGAAUAUUGCACAAUGGGCGCAAGCCUGAUGCAGCCAUGCCGCGUGUAUGAAGAAGGCCUUCGGGUUGUAAAGUACUUUCAGCGGGGAGGAAGGUGCUGAGGUUAAUAACCUCAGCAAUUGACGUUACCCGCAGAAGAAGCACCGGCUAACUCCGUGCCAGCCGCCGCCGUAA